RNAcentral lists this ribosomal RNA (496 nucleotides) under uncultured bacterium. Its description in RNAcentral is "partial 16S ribosomal RNA". It matches the Rfam family "Bacterial small subunit ribosomal RNA", at positions 30 to 523 of the family's 1533-position model. The record is from RNAcentral.
AUUGAACGCUGGCGGAAUGCUUUACACAUGCAAGUCGAACGGUAGAGGGGGCAACCCCUCGAGAGUGGCGAACGGGUGAGUAAUAUAUCGGAACGUGCCCAGUCGUGGGGGAUAACGUAGCGAAAGUUACGCUAAUACCGCAUACGAUCUACGGAUGAAAGCGGGGGAUCGCAAGACCUCGCGCGAUUGGAGCGGCCGAUAUCAGAUUAGGUAGUUGGUGAGGUAAAGGCUCACCAAGCCAACGAUCUGUAGCUGGUCUGAGAGGACGACCAGCAACACUGGAACUGAGAAACGGUCCAGACUCCUACGGGAGUCAGCAGUGGGGAAUGUUGGACAAUGGACGCAAGUCUGAUCCAGCCAUUCCGCGUGCAGGAUGAAGGCCCUCGGGUUGUAAACUGCUUUUGUACGGAACGAAAAGGUCUCUCUUAAUACGGGGGACUCAUGACGGUACCGUAAGAAUAAGCACCGGCUAACUACGUGCCAGCCGCCGCCGUAA